This 458-nucleotide ribosomal RNA is filed under the name uncultured bacterium. RNAcentral's name for it is "partial 16S ribosomal RNA". It matches the Rfam family "Bacterial small subunit ribosomal RNA", at positions 338 to 795 of the family's 1533-position model. The record is from RNAcentral.
CCUACGGGAGGCAGCAGUGGGGAAUAUUGCACAAUGGGGGAAACCCUGAUGCAGCGACGCCGCGUGAGUGAAGAAGUCUUUCGGUAUGUAAAGCUCUAUCAGCAGGGAAGAAAUAGCGACCUUUGGGUCGCCAGACGGUACCUGACUCAGAAGCCCCGGCUAACUACAUGCCAGCAGCCGCGGUAAUACGUAGGGGGCAAGCGGUAUCCGGAUUUACUGGGUGUAAAGGGAGCGUAGACGGCAGCACAAGUCUGAAGUGAAAUGCCGGGGCUUAACCCCGGAACUGCUUUGGAAACUGUGCAGCUAGAGUGCAGGAGAGGUAAGUGGAAUUCCUAGUGUAGCGGUGAAAUGCGUAGAUAGUAGGAGGAACACCAGUGGCGAAGGCGGCUUACUGGACUGUAACUGACGUUGAGGCUCGAAAGCGUGGGGAGCAAACAGGAUUAGAUACCCGGGUAGUC